GUGCCAGCAGCCGCGGUAAUACGUAGGGGGCGAGCGUUGUCCGGAGUUACUGGGCGUAAAGGGCGCGCAGGCGGUCUGGUAAGUUUGGAGUGACAGUGCUCGGCUUAACUGAGCAAGGCCUUCGAAAACUGUCAGACUUGAGCACUCAAGAGGGACAUAGAAUUCCGGGUGGAGUGGUGAAAUGCGUAGAUAUCCGGAGGAAUACCAAAGGCGAAGGCAGUGUCCUGGGGAGUGUCUGACGCUCAGGCGCGAAAGCUAGGGGAGCGAACAGGAUUAGAUACCCUGGUAGUCC
This 292-nucleotide ribosomal RNA is filed under the name uncultured bacterium. RNAcentral's name for it is "partial 16S ribosomal RNA". It matches the Rfam family "Bacterial small subunit ribosomal RNA", at positions 505 to 796 of the family's 1533-position model. The record is from RNAcentral.